UACGUAGGGUGCGAGCGUUGUCCGGAAUUAUUGGGCGUAAAGGGCUCGUAGGCGGUCUGUUGCGUCAGGAGUGAAAACUCGGGGCUUAACCCCGAGCCUGCUUCUGAUACGGGCAGGACUAGAGGUAUGCAGGGGAGAACGAAUCCUGGUGUAGCGGUGAAAUGCGCAGAUAUCAGGAGGAACACCGGUGGCGAAGGCGGUUCUCUGGGCAUUACCUGACGUGAGGAGCGAAAAGUGUGGGGGAGCGAACAGG
RNAcentral lists this ribosomal RNA (253 nucleotides) under uncultured bacterium. Its description in RNAcentral is "partial 16S ribosomal RNA". It matches the Rfam family "Bacterial small subunit ribosomal RNA", at positions 524 to 776 of the family's 1533-position model. The record is from RNAcentral.